This 350-nucleotide long non-coding RNA is filed under the name Ananas comosus (pineapple). Its description in RNAcentral is "long non-coding RNA (ACOM_LNC029368)". The record is from RNAcentral. Lineage: Eukaryota; Viridiplantae; Streptophyta; Magnoliopsida; Poales; Bromeliaceae.
UAAUAUUUAAUUACAUAUAUAUAUGGUUAUCAGGUAUUGUGGAUUCAUGGCUUCCAAUAAACGCAAGCGUCUAUUGUUAAUUACCCCUUCAAAGUGUUAGGGCAUCUUCGAUUAAGAGACCUCUGUAAUGCUGAAAUAGACUGAAAUUGAAUAAAAUGUGGAUUUUAUAACAUAAUCCAUUGUAUAGUUACAUGGCUUAACCAGGGGCAUACCCCCAGUGUACAUGAAUGAAUAUGACGGUUGAUUGAACUUGAUUCUGAAUCAAAGUGUAUGAUCAAAUUGAUUUGAUUGGGCUCUAUAUGUUUCAGUGCUCAACAAUAUUGUUCACCCUAAGGUGAGGGAUUGAUUAA